AGUGAACGCUGGCGGUAGGCCUAACACAUGCAAGUCGAACGGCAGCACAGUAAGAGCCUGCUCUUACGGGUGGCGAGUGGCGGACGGGUGAGGAAUACAUCGGAAUCUACUUUUUCGUGGGGGAUAACGUAGGGAAACUUACGCUAAUACAGCAUACGACCUACGGGGGAAAGCAGGGGAUCUUCGGACCUUGCGCGAGUGGAUGAGCCGAUGUCGGAUUAGCUAGUUGGCGGGGUAAAGGCCCACCAAGGCGACGAUCCGUAGCUGGUCUGAGAGGAUGACCAGCCACACUGGAACUGAGACACGGUCCAGACUCCUACGGGAGGCAGCAGUGGGGAAUUUUGGACAAUGGGCGCAAGCCUGAUCCAGCCAUGCCGCGUGGGUGAAGAAGGCCUUCGGGUUGUAAAGCCCUUUUGUUGGGAAAGAAAAGCAGCAGGUUAAUACCCCGCUGUUCUGACGGUACCCAAAGAAUAAGCACCGGCUAACUUCGUG
RNAcentral lists this ribosomal RNA (492 nucleotides) under uncultured bacterium. RNAcentral describes it as "partial 16S ribosomal RNA". It matches the Rfam family "Bacterial small subunit ribosomal RNA", at positions 29 to 507 of the family's 1533-position model. The record is from RNAcentral.